This is an RNA transcript of Panicum virgatum (switchgrass), 2053 nucleotides long. RefSeq lists it as uncharacterized. The record is from RefSeq and is a predicted model, not a curated record. Lineage: Eukaryota; Viridiplantae; Streptophyta; Magnoliopsida; Poales; Poaceae. The transcript has 5 exons.
AUGGACUAUGGCGGUGGCGAUGCUGUGGCGGAGGAUCAGUCGCGACGAGGUGGAGGAAGAGCAGGAGAAGAUCUGCUGCCGCGGCCGAGGGCAGAGGAGGAGGAGGAGGAGGAGGACAGCGAUGACGAGAGACCUAUACGUUUCGUUCGUCGUCGAGGCUCCACCGCCGGACCGCCGUCGCAGGCACCGGCAACGGUGGCGACGGCACCAGAACCGUCACCGUCGUCAUCGUGCUCGAACAAUAGCUCCUCGGUGAUCUGGGACGCUACGGUGGAGGACCACAGCGCCCUUGAUUGUAGCAUCUUCUACCUCCCGCUCAAGCCUCCAAUCUUCCAGUGCCACGUCGGGCACGUGGUGUGCUGCCGGUGCAACGACAAGCUGAGGCCGGCGACCCAGUGCCACAAGUGCCGCGCCCCGACGCCGGGCGGCUACCGCCGGAGCUACGACAUGGAGACCCUGCUGGGCGCCAUCCGAGUCCCGUGCCCGAACGCCGCCCGCGGCUGCGCGCACCGGCCGGCGUACCACGAUCGCGACGCCCACGCCCUGGCGUGCCCGCACGCCGCGCCGUGCCGCUGCCCCGGCGAGGCCUGCGGCUUCGCCGGCCCGGCGGCGGCGCUCGCCGACCACGUCGCCGCCGAACACGGCUGGCCCUGCACCGCCGUGGACGCGGACGGGCCCGGCACCUCCCUCAUCCUCCGCGACGGCUUCAACUUCCUCACCGUCACCGCCUCCCGAGCUGCUGCUGCUGCUACCUCCCCCAGCCAUGGCGCCGCCACGAGCAAGUUCCUGUUCCUGCUGAACGUGGUGCCGGCGCGGCUGUUCGGCCGCGUCAUCACGGAGGAGCUGGAGCUAGAACAAGAGGAGGAAGAGGAUGAGGAGGAGCAAAGUGAAAGCGAAAGCGAACAUGAGUACUCUGAUGGAUCUGAUGGUGGUGAUAUUGCAGAGGAUCAGCACAAUGAGCAGCAAUCACAGCAAGAUGGGGUAGGAGAAGAUCACCCGCCGCAGCCACAGGUGGUGGUGGUGGUUGAUAAUAAUGACGAUGAAUGCACUGUCAUUCAAGGCUCCACUACACCUCCAGUGCCUCCGCCGUCAUCAUCGUCCUGCUUAGAAAGCUCAGUGGUCAGGGAUGUGACGGCGGACUCCAGUGCCCUUGAUUGUGGCAUCUGCUUCCUACCGCUCAAGCCUCCCAUCUUCCAGUGCAACGUCGGCCAUGUGGUGUGCUCUCCAUGCCAUGACAAGCUGGGUGUGCCGAGCAGCUGCCACGUUUGUUCUGCCCGGACCCCAGGUGGCUACCACAGGUGCCACGCCAUGGAGCAGCUGGUGGACUCCAUCCGUGUUCCGUGCCCGCACGCUGGCCAUGGCUGCACUGACAGGCCGGGUGUAUCACAACCGUGAAGGCCACGCCCAGGUGUGCCCCCACAUGCCGUGCCGCUGCCCUGGCCAGGCCUGCGGCUUUGUUGGCUCCAUGGCGGCGCUACUGCGCCAUUUCGCUGCCGUGCACAGAUGGCCCUGCACAACCGAGGAUGAGGCUGCUGUUGGCUUCGACAUUGAACUCCGUGACGGUUUCAAUUUUAUCACCGCCGUCCGUGCUGCUACAGACCAAGUCACCAUGAAUCAGCACCUGUUCCUGCUGAACAUGGAGCGGGCGCCGUUCGGCCGCACCAUCACUGCGUUCUGCAUACACCCUUUCCAUACCUCCACUGCCAUGCUCAAGCUUACCUAUGAGUGCUACAGGAGCUUUGACACGUGCAGCACGCAUCACCAGUCAUCGGAAUUCAAGGUGGCCUGCACAGAUCUCUCCAAUGGGCUACCCGAUCCCAGUGAGUGCUUCCUGUUCAUCGUGCCGAGAUCUGCCUGCAGAGAUGACGAGGAGUUUACCAAGGUCAAUGUUGUUAUCACUCAAGCACCCAGCCAGUAGACCAUCAGCAUAUUUAGUCAUGUGAAGUAUUUAUUACAAUGUGCUAAUUUCUUAUAGUUAAGUUUGACUCUUGUAACUCUCCGUCUGUGGACGAAUUAUAAUGCAUUGUUGGAAACUGGUUGGUAUACUAAUAAA